GCGGGUGUGGCGAAAUUGGUAAACGCAGUAGCCUUGGAAGCUACUGGCGAGAAAUCGCCAUGAGGGUUCGAGGCCCUCCACCCGCACCA
This 89-nucleotide transfer RNA is filed under the name Terriglobia bacterium. Its description in RNAcentral is "tRNA-Pro". It matches the Rfam family "tRNA". Rfam says of the family: Transfer RNA (tRNA) molecules are approximately 80 nucleotides in length. Their secondary structure includes four short double-helical elements and three loops (D, anti-codon, and T loops). Further hydrogen bonds mediate the characteristic L-shaped molecular structure. tRNAs have two regions of fundamental functional importance: the anti-codon, which is responsible for specific mRNA codon recognition, and the 3' end, to which the tRNAs corresponding amino acid is attached (by aminoacyl-tRNA synthetases). tRNAs cope with the degeneracy of the genetic code in two manners: having more than one tRNA (with a specific anti-codon) for a particular amino acid; and 'wobble' base-pairing, i.e. permitting non-standard base-pairing at the 3rd anti-codon position. Lineage: Bacteria; Pseudomonadati; Acidobacteriota; Terriglobia. The record is from RNAcentral.